Molecule: small nucleolar RNA, 139 nt
Filed under: Sorex araneus (European shrew)
Lineage: Eukaryota; Metazoa; Chordata; Mammalia; Eulipotyphla; Soricidae
Source: RNAcentral
GACCUUCAGGGUUGCAUCAGGAGAGUGGCCCGGAUUCUGCCAGGUGUGGAGGUGAGAAGGAAAAAAAGCCUGGGAAAGGUACCUAUUCCAUUCCCAGCUUGCUCAGUUGCUGAUGAAUGGAAGACAUUCUGCCAUAGUG